This 217-nucleotide long non-coding RNA is filed under the name Vitis vinifera (wine grape). Its description in RNAcentral is "long non-coding RNA (VVIN_LNC003301)". Lineage: Eukaryota; Viridiplantae; Streptophyta; Magnoliopsida; Vitales; Vitaceae. The record is from RNAcentral.
GAGGUAGUGCAUGUGUGGAGGUGAUGACCACCUUGCAUGGAAGCGCCCCGUCUCUUCGGAGGCGUGCAGAGGGUUGCGUACCGCUGGAGGGUAUGAUCGCUUCUGCUAGGGAUCUUUAAAAUCCACCCAUAUCCAUUUAGAGCCACCUUGACCUCGUAGGUUGAGCCGUAGAUCCUUCGAUUAGGACUCCCUCCCUACACGUGGGUGCAUCUGAGGG